This 476-nucleotide ribosomal RNA is filed under the name alpha proteobacterium BAC147P. RNAcentral's name for it is "bacterial SSU rRNA". It matches the Rfam family "Bacterial small subunit ribosomal RNA", at positions 1014 to 1490 of the family's 1533-position model. Lineage: Bacteria; Pseudomonadati; Pseudomonadota; Alphaproteobacteria. The record is from RNAcentral.
CCUCUUCGGAGGCGUGCACACAGGUGCUGCAUGGCUGUCGUCAGCUCGUGUCGUGAGAUGUUGCGUUAAGUCCCGCAACGAGCGCAACCCACGUCCUCAGUUGCCAUCAUUCAGUUGGGCACUCUGGAGAGACUGCCGGUGAUAAGCCGCGAGGAAGGUGUGGAUGACGUCAAGUCCUCAUGGCCCUUACGGGAUGGGCUACACACGUGCUACAAUGGCGGUGACAGUGGGACGCGAAGGGGUGACCCUGAGCCAAUCUCCAAAAGCCGUCUCAGUUCGGAUUGCACUCUGCAACUCGAGUGCAUGAAGGCGGAAUCGCUAGUAAUCGUGGAUCAGCAUGCCACGGUGAAUACGUUCCCGGGCCUUGUACACACCGCCCGUCACACCAUGGGAGUUGGUCUUACCCGACGGCGCUGCGCCAACUGGCAACAGAGGCAGGCGACCACGGUAGGGUCAGCGACUGGGGUCGAGUCGUA